GCCGUUGGGGGACUUGAUCCCUUAGUGGCGAAGCUAACGCGAUAAGUAGACCGCCUGGGGAGUACGGUCGCAAGAUUAAAACUCAAAUGAAUUGACGGGGGCCCGCACAAGCGGUGGAGCAUGUGGUUUAAUUCGACGCAACGCGAAAAACCUUACCUGGUCUUGACAUCCUGCGAACUUUCUAGAGAUAGAUUGGUGCCUUCGGGAACGCAGUGACAGGUGCUGCAUGGCCGUCGUCAGCUCGUGUCGUGAGAUGUUGGGUUAAGUCCCGUAACGAGCGCAACCCUUGUCCUUAUUUGCCAGCACGUAAUGGUGGGAACUCUAAGGAGACUGCCGGUGACAAACCGGAGGAAGGUGGGGACGACGUCAAGUCAUCAUGGCCCUUAUGACCAGGGCUACACACGUGCUACAAUGGAGCGUACAGAGGGUUGCUAAGCCGCGAGGUGGAGCCAAUCCCAGAAAACGUUUCGUAGUCCGGAUCGAAGUCUGCAACUCGACUUCGUGAAGUCGGAAUCGCUAGUAAUCGCGAAUCAGCAUGUCGCGGUGAAUACGUUCCCGGGCCUUGUACACACCGCCCGUCACACCAUGGGAGUGGGUUGCAAAAGAAGUGGCUAGUCUAACCUUCGGGAGGACGGUCACCACUUUGUGAUUCAUGACUGGGGUG
RNAcentral lists this ribosomal RNA (664 nucleotides) under uncultured marine bacterium. RNAcentral describes it as "bacterial SSU rRNA". It matches the Rfam family "Bacterial small subunit ribosomal RNA", at positions 819 to 1482 of the family's 1533-position model. The record is from RNAcentral.